CAGUAGCCACGGGAACACGAAGGUCCCGAGCGUUGUCCGGAUUUAUUGGGCGUAAAGCGAGCGCAGGCGGUUAGAUAAGUCUGAAGUUAAAGGCUGUGGCUUAACCAUAGUACGCUUUGGAAACUGUUUAACUUGAGUGCAAGAGGGGAGAGUGGAAUUCCAUGUGUAGCGGUGAAAUGCGUAGAUAUAUGGAGGAACACCGGUGGCGAAAGCGGCUCUCUGGCUUGUAACUGACGCUGAGGCUCGAAAGCGAGGGGAGCAAACAGGAUUAGAUACCCGCGUAGUCCCUGUCUCUUAUACC
Molecule: ribosomal RNA, 301 nt
Filed under: uncultured bacterium
Lineage: Bacteria
Description: partial 16S ribosomal RNA
Rfam family: Bacterial small subunit ribosomal RNA
Source: RNAcentral